GAUGAAGAACGCAGCGAAAUGCGAUAAGUAAUGUGAAUUGCAGAAUUCAGUGAAUCAUCGAAUCUUUGAACGCACCUUGCGCCCUUUGGCCAUUCCGAAGGGCAUGCCUGUUUGAGUAUCAUGAACACCUCAACUCUUUAUGGUUUUCCAUGAUGAGCUUGGACUCUGGGGGUUUUGCUGGCUCACAGUCGGCUCCUCUAAAAUGAAUCAGCUUACCAGUGUUUGGUGGGUAUCAUGGGGGUGAUAACUAUCUACGCUUGUGGUUUUUCCACCAGGUAACCUUCAGCAGUGGAGGUUCGCUGGAGCUCAUAGAUGUCUCUCCUCAGUGAGGACAGCCCUUUGAAUGUUUGAUCUCAAAUCAGGUAGGACUACCCGCUGAACUUAAGCAUAUCAAUAAGCGGAGGA
This 405-nucleotide unclassified non-coding RNA is filed under the name soil metagenome. RNAcentral's name for it is "partial contains 5.8S ribosomal RNA, internal transcribed spacer 2, and large subunit ribosomal RNA". The stretch from base 1 to 121 matches the Rfam family "5.8S ribosomal RNA", at positions 35 to 154 of the family's 154-position model. The record is from RNAcentral.